AGACAGAGGAGGCAAGCGUUGUUCGGAAUCACUGGGCUUAAAGCGCGUGUAGGCGGCUCGGAAAGUGUCGUGUGAAAUCCCAUGGCUCAACCAUGGAAUGGCACGGCAAACUCACGGGCUUGAGGUCGGUAGAGGUGCCUGGAACUCUCGGUGGAGCGGUGAAAUGCGUAGAUAUCGAGAGGAACGCCUGAGGCGAAAGCGGGGCACUGGGCCGAUUCUGACGCUGAGACGCGAAAGCGUGGGGAGCAAACAGGAUUAGAUACCCUGGUAGUCCACGCCGUAAACGAUGCACACUAGACGUCGGAGGUUCUGACAUCGUCGGCGUCGUAGCAAAAGUGCUAAGUGUGCCGCCUGGGGAGUACGGCCGCAAGGCUAAA
RNAcentral lists this ribosomal RNA (377 nucleotides) under uncultured bacterium. RNAcentral describes it as "bacterial SSU rRNA". It matches the Rfam family "Bacterial small subunit ribosomal RNA", at positions 523 to 898 of the family's 1533-position model. The record is from RNAcentral.